AACUCAUUUACGGACAACAGCGCACGUUCAACCUAGCUAAAUAUUGGGCGAAAAACCUUGGCGCCUCACACGCUCUGAAAUUUUCGAACCCGCCCCCGGAUCGUCGGCGCGUCCUCAUCAUCUCUCUUGAGGCUUCCAAAAGAGUUCGAUUCUCGACUGCUCUCCGAAGCCACCGCCGCUGCCGAGGUUUUCAUCACCGACAGAGGGCUUGAAGACCAGGGAUCGAUGGACUGAGCAAAUGUAGUCCAUCGUUUUCUGUAAUAUUCGACGAAAAACCUUGGCGCUUCACAGAUGCCUCUGAAAUUUUCUCAGUCGUUGUGCAAACUAGUUUGGAUGGAUCUGCUGUGAUUCUAGGGUUUUGUUUUUUUCAGGUUUUCAGGUCUCAAGAUUACAGUGAUGUCCUGUACUGCCUUAAGCAUCUAUUCCAGGGAGGAAAAGAACCUCCAAAGGUGUUGGACGUACUUAGAGGAACCAAGCAAAAGAGACACCAUGAUGGAAUCUGAACGAAUUGACGGUCUGUGGGAAGAGAUACGGGAAGGCUUAGAGAGUGUUGAGAAGGACAUGGGUGCAUUCCUUGGUGACCCUUCCAAGCCUCUUCUCCUUUCUGUUCGAUCUGGUGCUGCAGUAAGUUCCUUUUCUGUUCAAUGGUGCAUCAAAGGUACAAAGCAAGACGAAAUAUUUCAGUCAAUUCUGACGGGUUUCUUUUUUCCAUCAUGGCUCAAAGCAAGAUGAAAUAAUCUUCACAUCUUACAGUAGAUAAGAAACUUGUUAUAUCUACAAUGACUUAAUUUUUUGCUAUAAUCACUCAGAAAGUACUCAACUUGAGCCAAUGGAAGAUGAAAGUAUGAGACCAUUACUAUAGAAGUGUAACUACCUUUGGCUUAUUUCUUUUUUUGGUUCAAUGCAUAUAGUACCUCUGUUUCCAUUCUAUCGCCUAUACCUCAGGCUACACUGCAUAUACCGGAAGUUUGUCAUGGUUAUUGCAGUGCUUAAUCAUUCGGCUGGAAUGUCAGGGUUUUGUUAACUCCGAUUGGGAAGGCAUCGACAGGCUUACCACUCCAUGUCAAUUUCUGAUUUGAAUGAACACCUAAAUUUAUGUGUAACAGUGUAGUCCCCAUAAUUACUCGUUGUUGCAUUUUUUUAGUUUAUGAGUCUAAUCACGGGAACACCAUAGUGGCUGGCUUGAUUCGUGGUCCAUGUGUAGUCCUUCCUCCAAGCAAGUUUAAUGAAGAAAGUGAGAGGAGAUCCCGCUUGGGGCUAGGGGCAAAUGAUGGAUUACAGCCACUUUUCCAGUACAAGUAUGUUUAAUUGUUUCUCACAUCUAUUCCUUGUCUUCUAUUGCUGCCUGCAAGUUGCUUCUCUAUAAAAGUUGGAUGGCUUCAAGAAACCUCUUGUCAAUGUUCAUGGGUUUAUUGUCUCAUUGCUUUACUUUACUUUCUGUAGUGAUUUUAUUUGCUUCAAUGGGGUAUCUUCAGUGCUCAUAAUGAAGCAUCACAAUUCUGAAGCUAUUCAUGCUUCAGAGUAUGAAUCAUUGAAUCUAGAUGCCAAUAAUGUGACAUGAACCACCUGUUUUCAUGAUUCACUAUUUCCGCUGCGUAUAUGACAAUAUUUCUUAUGUUAAAGCUUCUUUUUUUCCAUGCUUUCAGUCUAGUGGAGAUGAAUUAUCGGAUUGUGGGUGUAAUUUAUUGGAGAACGAUCUUAUUUUGCAGAUGGUUUUUUGAUGAAUCAAAAGGCGUAUUCAGAGAUGUGUCGAGUUAGUUGCAGUCAAGAGUAAUUUUUUUGUGCUAGUCUUAUUCAGGGCUCUAGUGCACAAAGUUGAUGGAUCUUCUUCUGAUCAGGUAUGUGUUCGCCGUUGGGAGCAAAAGGGCAUAAACUCUGCAAAAAAGUAAGCUUCAAAUAAAGAACAUCUCCGUGCGCGAAGAAUUGGGGUACUUGAAUGAGAUGGCUGCCUAGUUUAGGAUUACAUUUUCUGGAAAGAGAGAUUACAUCAGUGUUUUUUUUAUGAGUGUAAUUAGUCUGACUCUUAAAUGUAGUUUGUGCUGGAAAAUUAUUCUUCAAGCUAUUGUAAUGAAUCUUCGGUUGAAUUAUUUAUCUUACAUUGAAAUUGUAU
Rhododendron vialii is the source of this 2110-nucleotide long non-coding RNA. RefSeq lists it as uncharacterized. The record is from RefSeq and is a predicted model, not a curated record. The transcript is spliced from 5 exons. Lineage: Eukaryota; Viridiplantae; Streptophyta; Magnoliopsida; Ericales; Ericaceae.